GACGAACGCUGGCGGCGUGCUUAACACAUGCAAGUCGAACGGUAAGGCUCCAGCUUGCUGGGGUACACGAGUGGCGAACGGGUGAGUAACACGUGGGUGACCUGCCCUGCACUUCGGGAUAAGCCUGGGAAACUGGGUCUAAUACCGGAUAGGACCGCACCGUGAGGGUGUGGUGGAAAGUUUUUUCGGUGUGGGAUGGGCCCGCGGCCUAUCAGCUUGUUGGUGGGGUAAUGGCCUACCAAGGCGGCGACGGGUAGCCGGCCUGAGAGGGUGGACGGCCACAUUGGGACUGAGACACGGCCCAGACUCCUACGGGAGGCAGCAGUGGGGAAUAUUGCACAAUGGGCGGAAGCCUGAUGCAGCGACGCCGCGUGGGGGAUGACGGCCUUCCGGUUGUAAACUCCUUUCACCAUCGACGAAGGGUUUCUGACGGUAGAUGGAGAAGAAGCACCGGCUAACUACGUGCCAGCAGCCGCGGUAAUACGUAGGGUGCGAGCGUUGUCCGGAAUUACUGGGCGUAAGAGCUCGUAGGUGGUUUGUCGCGUCGUCUGUGAAAUUCCGGGGCUUAACUCCGGGCGUGCAGGCGAUACGGGCAUAACUUGAGUACUGUAGGGGAGACUGGAAUUCCUGGUGUAGCGGUGAAAUGCGCAGAUAUCAGGAGGAACACCGGUGGCGAAGGCGGGUCUCUGGGCAGUAACUGACGCUGAGGAGCGAAAGCAUGGGGAGCGAACAGGAUUAGAUACCCUGGUAGUCCAUGCCGUAAACGGUGGGCGCUAGGUGUGGGUUUCCUUCCACGGGAUCCGUGCCGUAGCUAACGCAUUAAGCGCCCCGCCUGGGGAGUACGGCCGCAAGGCUAAAACUCAAAGGAAUUGACGGGGGCCCGCACAAGCGGCGGAGCAUGUGGAUUAAUUCGAUGCAACGCGAAGAACCUUACCUGGGCUUGACAUAUACAGGAUCGCGCCAGAGAUGGUGUUUCCCUUGUGGCUUGUAUACAGGUGGUGCAUGGUUGUCGUCAGCUCGUGUCGUGAGAUGUUGGGUUAAGUCCCGCAACGAGCGCAACCCUUGUCUUAUGUUGCCAGCACGUUGUGGUGGGGACUCGUAAGAAACUGCCGGGGUUAACUCGGAGGAAGGUGGGGAUGACGUCAAAUCAUCAUGCCCCUUAUGUCCAGGGCUUCACACAUGCUACAAUGGUCGGUACAGUGGGUUGCCAGUCCGUGAGGGCGAGCUAAUCCCGCAAAGCCGGUCUCAGUUCGGAUCGGGGUCUGCAACUCGACCCCGUGAAGUCGGAGUCGCUAGUAAUCGCAGAUCAGCAACGCUGCGGUGAAUACGUUCCCGGGCCU
Molecule: ribosomal RNA, 1340 nt
Filed under: uncultured bacterium
Lineage: Bacteria
Description: 16S ribosomal RNA
Rfam family: Bacterial small subunit ribosomal RNA
Source: RNAcentral